RNAcentral lists this ribosomal RNA (176 nucleotides) under Desulforamulus reducens. RNAcentral's name for it is "Desulfotomaculum reducens partial 16S ribosomal RNA". It matches the Rfam family "Bacterial small subunit ribosomal RNA", at positions 334 to 525 of the family's 1533-position model. Lineage: Bacteria; Bacillati; Bacillota; Clostridia; Eubacteriales; Peptococcaceae. The record is from RNAcentral.
UACUCCUACGGGAGGCAGCAGGGGGGAAUAUUGGGCAAUGGGCGCAAGCCUGACCCAGCAACGCCGCGUGAAGGAAGAAGGCUUUCGGGUUGUAAACAUCUUUGACAGGGGAAGAGCAGAAGACGGUACCCUGAAAACAAGCCACGGCUAACUACGUGCCAGCAGCCGCGGUAAUA